RNAcentral lists this transfer RNA (64 nucleotides) under Achelia bituberculata. Its description in RNAcentral is "tRNA-Thr". It matches the Rfam family "tRNA". Rfam says of the family: Transfer RNA (tRNA) molecules are approximately 80 nucleotides in length. Their secondary structure includes four short double-helical elements and three loops (D, anti-codon, and T loops). Lineage: Eukaryota; Metazoa; Arthropoda; Pycnogonida; Pantopoda; Ammotheidae. The record is from RNAcentral.
GUUUUAAUAGUUUAAUAUAAAAUAAUGAUUUUGUAAAUCAUAGUUGUAAAACUUACUUAAAACU